UACGUAGGGUGCAAGCGUUGUCCGGAAUUAUUGGGCGUAAAGAGCUCGUAGGUGGUCUGUCGCGUCGGAUGUGAAAAUCCAGGGCUUAACCCUGGACCUGCAUUCGAUACGGGCAGACUAGAGUUCGGUAGGGGAGACUGGAAUUCCUGGUGUAGCGGUGAAAUGCGCAGAUAUCAGGAGGAACACCGGUGGCGAAGGCGGGUCUCUGGGCCGAUACUGACGCUGAGGAGCGAAAGCGUGGGGAGCGAACAGG
This 253-nucleotide ribosomal RNA is filed under the name uncultured bacterium. RNAcentral describes it as "partial 16S ribosomal RNA". It matches the Rfam family "Bacterial small subunit ribosomal RNA", at positions 524 to 776 of the family's 1533-position model. The record is from RNAcentral.